AGUGAACGCUGGCGGCGUGCCUAAUACAUGCAAGUCGAACGGAAUUUAAAAGAGCUUGCUCUUUUAAAUUUAGUGGCGCACGGGUGAGUAAUAUAUAGCUAAUCUGCCCCUUGCUGGAGGACAACAGUUAGAAAUGACUGCUAAUACUCCAUACUCCUUUUUACCAUAAGAUAAAUCGGGAAAGAAUUUCGGCAAGGGAUGAGACUAUAUCGUAUCAGCUAGUCGGUGGGGUAACGGCCUACCGAGGCUAUGACGCGUAACUGGUCUGAGAGGAUGAUCAGUCACAUUGGAACUGAGACACGGUCCAAACUCCUACGGGAGGCAGCAGUAGGGAAUAUUGCGCAAUGGGGGAAACCCUGACGCAGCAACGCCGCGUGGAGGAUGACACUUUUCGGAGCGUAAACUCCUUUUGUUAGGGAAAAAUAAGACGGUACC
This 435-nucleotide ribosomal RNA is filed under the name Campylobacter gracilis. Its description in RNAcentral is "bacterial SSU rRNA". It matches the Rfam family "Bacterial small subunit ribosomal RNA", at positions 29 to 461 of the family's 1533-position model. The record is from RNAcentral. Lineage: Bacteria; Pseudomonadati; Campylobacterota; Epsilonproteobacteria; Campylobacterales; Campylobacteraceae.